CGUUGAAACACCAGUUUCUUUAUGAUCACUGAAGUUAAGCAAUGUCGAGCCUGCUCAGUACCUAGAUGGGUGACUGCUUGGGAAUACCAGGUGCU
RNAcentral lists this ribosomal RNA (95 nucleotides) under Acanthosepion pharaonis. The record is from RNAcentral. Lineage: Eukaryota; Metazoa; Mollusca; Cephalopoda; Sepiida; Sepiidae.